This 6041-nucleotide long non-coding RNA is filed under the name Canis lupus familiaris (dog). Its description in RNAcentral is "lncRNA (ENSCAFG00000059052.1)". The record is from RNAcentral. Lineage: Eukaryota; Metazoa; Chordata; Mammalia; Carnivora; Canidae.
UUUUUUUUUUUAAAAGACAAUCUUUCCUCCAUAGAGCUGGUUUUGCAACCUUUGUCAGAAAUCAGUUGGGCACAUAUGUCUGGGUCUGUUUCCAGGUUCUGUUCCGCUGAUCUGUAUGUACAUCCAGCCCUCCAUCAGCUUGUAGAAAAUUUAAACUUACCUUUGUGCCAAUUUAAAGUGUUUCAAUAUCAAUUACAAUGUAUUUCUUCAUCUAAAAAUAGUAUUAUAACUCAGCAACUACGUAAAGAUGAAUUUGGGGAACAGCCCCCUUAAAGUGCUUAGCUUAUAAGUCAUAUUUUCCUGGUUUAAGUGACCAGUUAUUGUCCUUUGGGGAAGAACCUGAACUUUGGUUAUCAAAACAAGGUUAAGCUAAAUCCUAUCCAGCAAAGCAUUCAGUACCUUGGCUGGCAUGCAGGCAUUUAGUAGCAAGUGCAUAUAUGUUUUAGAUUUGGAAAUCUGGUGUGUAUUUUUAACAAUCAAGGUAGAGUCCUGGCUCUUCAUUGAGUUUUUCUCCCACUGUCCCAGAUGACAGGGAAGCAAUAUGUACCUUGGGACCAGACAGUGCCCCCAAAGAGAGGCAGGCACUGAGGGUCUCACCAGAGACAAUUUGGAAGAAUGCCAUCUCUUUGGAAUAUGAAUGAGGAUGUCAAGAAGAGCUGCUUAACUUGCAAGAUUCUGUGGAAAAUAAAAAUGAAUAUCUCCUUGUUUAAAAUUACUAAGAAAAUAAAAUAAGAUGAAAAUUGAGAGAGAGGCAAACCAUAAGAGAUGUUAAACUCUAGGAAACAAACUGAAGAUUGCUGGGGUGAGGGUGCAGUGGAGCAUGGGGUAACUGGAUGACAGGCAUUAAGGAGGGCAUGUGAUGUGAUGAGCACUGGAUAUUAUAUGCAACUUAUGAAUCACUAAAUUCUACCUCUGAAACUAAUUAAAAAAAUUACUAAGAAUUUCAAGACGACAACAACAGAGCAUUAAGUCAAGCACUGGAUCCUUUUAGGAGCAUGGUCCAUGUGACUGUAUAAGUCACAUGCCUACUGGAGCUGACCCUGAGGUGUUCUGUGCUCAAAUAAGCUGUAGAAUUCAGCUUUUGUAACCUUUUGUACUUUGCAGAGUUUUUAAUAAGCUGUCAUAAUUUUGAUUUCCAGGAAGGGGCUGCGCUGUUUUUCAGAUGGAUUUGGUUAUGUAUGUGUGCAUGUGUGUGUUGUCACUGUAUUUUGGGAAACCUGCAUCACAAUUGUUAUAGAUGCACCCUGUACCUAUGAUAAGAUAUCGUACCUAAAAGACACAGAAAGUGGAUUACAUUUGAGUAAAAAUGUAGGAAUUUAUUUUCAGCAUUCCUGAAAAUGGUCAAAAUCAAGAAUAUAGACUGAAAUAAUUAUUUUCAUGAAUGCUCUUCAAAUAGAGGUCUCUGGCGUGGCCACCAGUCAGUUCAUAUUUAGGAUGGUUUUUUAAAAGAUUUUAUUUAUUUACUCAUAGAGAUUUUAUUUAUUUACUCAUAGACACACACACACACACACACACACACACACACAGAGACAGAGACAGAGACAGAGAGAGAAAGAGGCAGAGACACAGGCUGAGGGGAGAAGCAGGCUCCAUGCAGGGAGCCUGACAUGGGACUCGAUCCCAGGUCUCCAGGAUCAGGCCCUGAGCUGCAGGCGGCGCUAAACCACUGGGGCUGCCCUAGGAUGGGUUUCAAACAAGGGCAGGUCUAUGGGGGGAAACUUCUGCCCUGAGAAUCCCCAGAAGGAAGACCUUAAGCUCUAGACCAUGUGAUGAAGUUCAUAUAACCACAGGAGUGAUAAUAAUAAUAAUGGCCAAAAUUUAUCAAGUUCUAGCCAUGGGACAGGCAUAAGGCUUCCCAGAAACAAUCUCAAAAUCUGGGCGAGAAUCUUGCAGCAAGCUCUAUCAUCACCCCUUCUUCACAAGUGAGGAACUGAAGCACAGAGAGGCUAAGUAACCUUCCCAAGUUCAACACCUAGGAAGAAAGGCCCAGGCAGUCUGGCUCCCAAGCCCAGGACCUGAUUAAAGUCCAAUCUUUGGCAGUAGUAACAAGCCCAAGACCAGGAGCCUGAGAACACAGGGUCUGAUCUGGGUUAUGUCUCGGACUAACUCGGUGACCCUAAGGAAACCACUCUAUUACUGAGUUUAAAAUGAGGAUGGCAGGGGCUCCUGGAUGGCUCAGUAGGUUAGGUGUCCAACUUCAGAUUUCAGCUCAGGUUGUAAUCUCAAGGUUGCAAGAUUCUGCUUGGGAUUCUCUCUCUCCCUCUUCCUCUUCUCCUCCCCCCACUUGUGCAUGUGUGUGUGCGCGCGCACGUGCACACUCACUCAUUUUCUUUCUCCCUCAAAUAAAUAAAUAAAUUUUUUUGAAUGAGGAUAAAAUAGUAUCUCCAGUCCUUUUCAACUCUAAAAUGAUUGAACACAAUAAGAUAUAGUUUAUGAUUGUAUCCAAAGCAAAAUAAAUCUAGAAUAUACAUUUCCUAAGGGUAAAGAUCAUGUCUUGUGUGUAUCCUGGUAUCUUGACAGUUUAGAACAGUGCCUGACACACAGUAGGUUCUCAACCAUUUAUGAGUUGAAUGAAUGAAUGGUAAGUUAAACAAAUGAGAGAAUUCCAUAAUCCAACACAGAGCAAAUGAACAUUACAUAUUUUUAGAAGCCUCACAAAUCAUGACACCAAAUAGAAUCCUGCAAUUUUACUUGGUCUUGGUCAACUUCAAUGUCAAAAGUCCUACCAGCCUUCAGUCAUUGGACAUAUCGCUGGUCACAGGAACUCAUGAGCAGGAUCCACACAGUCUCUGAGGUGAAAGCUUUCACGUCAGUCUAAGGGAAAGCUUCACUUGGCCUUCAUUUGGUGUCAACAACCUAAGAAGUGGGGACUGAGUGAGAUGACAUAUUUCGGUUUUCAAAAAUCAGUGUAUCUUCAGGCACCUUUUGACAACAUGCAGACCUUUGCUCUCUCAUGAGGCACAUAAUGUGUGUGGGGCCAGUGGAGUUAAACUUCAUAACUCUAACCCCUAUGCACUGAGAAUAUUGACCUCCUAAUACACGUUUUUAAAACCUUUUUUUCUGGAAGAUAGCGAAAGUGCAGUAGGUUCUAAUAAAAUCAGUAUAUUCUGAUAACUCUGCAUCUGAUGAAAGGAAGAUCUCAUGAAGAAGAAACACCUUUGUACAUGUGGGUCCCCCAACAGAAUUACCCCUGAGUUCCCUGGCAAUCCAUCCUGAGCUUCCAUUCACCACCCAUCCCCACUCUGCCAGUGUUCUCUCUCAUUGUUCGCUCAUUAUUUUGCUUCAUAACAUUUACCACCGCUUGUAAUUAUGCGCUAUUUGUUUACUCAUCAGCGAAUGUCUUUUCCUUGAGACUGCAGGUCCAGAAGAUAGCGAUUAUGAACACAGAUGAAUAGUCUCACCAGGUAGGGGGGCAUACUAAAAGGGACCAAAAAAUAUUUGCAGAAAGAGUGAAUCGAUAAACAAGUAUAUUCAUUAAUAAGAGAAAAGGAGUUCAUAAUAUAUUGUUGAGUAAGCGCAUUAUAAAAGUGCAUUAGAUACUAUGUGAUCCCUCUUAAAAGAUAUUUGUAAGAUACCCACGUGUAGAAUUUUACAGACAGUUAUAUACACAUGUGAAAAAAACAAAUCUAGAUGUAGAAACUGAGAUGCUCACAUUAUUCAUCUUAGUUUGCUGGCAUGGAGUGAUUUUAUUUUUUAAAUUUACUAAUUUGUACCUCUUCAUUUUUCAGUAAUGGAUAUGUACUACUUAUGUUUAAAUAUUUUUUAAAGAACAUAAUGCAAUUUAAAAUCCCCGAGUUACUUAAGUUUAUGAUUAAUGUCUAGACUCCUCAAAUGGAAUAUAUAUUUUUUAAUGAAAGAAACCACACAUGAUACAUCUAUGAACCCCUCCACUUCCCCCCAUGUAUGUGCAUAAGCAUGAAACAAAAGCUCAUAAAACAGCAGGGAUAGCUCAUAAGUCCUAUUGUAAGCCAGGAGAUGGAGAAAUGCUCAGACAUAUAAAUCAGGGCUACAGACUUCUCAUUUCCUACUUUGUGUCUGCUUACACAUGUGUGGGUCGAAGUGCUGUCGAAGACAGGAAUCGUACGAGGAGCAGGAAGACUGCGUGGCUCUUCUGAGCAUUGGCUAAUUUAUGUACUUUAUUUAAUCAACUUCUUAUGCUGCUAUAAAAUGCUAACUCAUUCCAAAAUAAAAAAUUUAAACAAGGUUUUAAUUAAAACUUGUAUUGCUAUGGGCAUAAAUCCACACGAUGUUCCUUUCUUGGUCAAUGGAUUUAUACUGUACUAGAUUGGUAAAGCUGUUGAGAAUCCUUUAUUUUGGUAAUAUUUCAUAUCUGGCAAUACCUUAACAUCAUCUGAUUAACAUGAAUUUUCAUACCACCUCAAUGUAGAGAGUCAAAGCCACCGGUGGAUUACAGGACUCCACUCACACGGGGUCUGUGUUUGCAUCUGUGUCCCUGCGGGGGGAGCCAGCUCCCCAUGGCUCCACUCCCCCAUCCUGAGGCUACUUCAUUAUCACAAUAAAAUCCAGCUUUAUGUCACCACCUGCAUGUCCAAAUGGAGUCCAACAUUAUCUCGAUAAAGUAAAAUCACAUUGGCAAUCUAUGGCUUUUUCUUUGGGUCAACAUAAUUCCACUGACAGAAUCAAGAACAAGGAAAUGUAAUAUCCUCAUCACAAAUACUGGUGGAGGAAAUGUGGGUACUCUGGCCUUAUAUCGCUCCUACUGUUGUAGCCAUUACGGGUGACAACAGCAUGAAAUACUUUAACAUUUUAAUAAUUCUGCUGAAAUUACAGUGGCUCCACAUCAUGCUUAUAUUCCUAGUCACUUUACAAAGUUGAUAAACAGGCAUUUGUGUCAAGCUCUCUGACUAUUAACCCAAUAUUUUUAUUGAGAAUUUAUUUUUUUAAAGAUUUUAUUUAUUGAGAGAGAGAGAAUGAGCAGGAGAGAGUAGGAGAAGAGGCUCCCUGCUGAGCUGGGAGCCUGACAAGGGGCUCGAUCCUGGGAUCAUGACCUGAGCUGAAGGCCAACACUUAACUGACUAAGCCACCCAGGGGCUCAGAAUUGAGAAUUUAAAAGUAGGUGAAGGGAAAACGCGUAAAUACUUGACUUUGUGUAGACUGAAGAUUUCUUUCAGAGAAGAGAUCAUGUACAGUACUAGAAAAAAAAAUGUUUUUCCCCCUCUUGCCUUUAUAAUAUCAACAGAAGCUACUCUUUCUUUCUCAACUUUAAAACAUGCCAAAACACGCUCAUGGGUGGAUAAAUAGCUAACCUGGGAGAGUCAGGAUACUAGAUUGUGGUUGAUCCUUUAUUGUUCCCUUCAAUGGCCAGCCUCAUGUGGGAGGAAGCAUGCAUUUCUUAGUGCCUCUAGAGUGAGGCAUGGAUAUGUGACUUACAGCCAAGAUCAUGUCAGCAAAGUGUCUGGAACAGCGGCUCUUGAGUGUUUGCAUGGUUUGCCAUGCUUCUGAUGCUACUGUGACCUGCCCUGAGCAAAACAAAUCCCACAAUCCUGUUGGUCCAGAGAGGAACAGAAUCAAGUGGAGCUGACCUGGCCCCAUCUGGUACCUUGGAGACAAGUCCAUUCCAGCCUGACCUAGCUGAGGUCAGCCAAUACCCAGCCAACUAGGAAUUCAAGGGAAAGAGAGAUAAAUGGUUCUAGAUUCAGGGGGGACUAUUUGUUAUACUGCAUUAUUCCAGAAGUAGCUGACUAAUACACAAUCUGUUAAAAACAGAGUUGUAGCAUAAUAUGUUCAAAGACUGAACAGGAACUAAAGUGACCAUCUGGACCGGCUCCUCUCUUUUGGUAGAUGAGGACACUGAGGCUCAAAACUUGCAACUUGCUCCAAAGUAUAGAAGAGAGUAGGAACCAGGUCUCCUGAUACUCCGUGCUUUUCCCCGACUGAGCAUGGCAGAUUCCAGACUGGCAUGGAUUUUUGUUAAGAGCCCUGGAUUAUACGGUCUACCUCCCUGCUUCAAGUGUGCCUCAUUCUUGUCUGCCCACUCUCUCCUCCUUCCCUCCCCCAGGCUUCCCCAUCUUGGAUUGAUC